CCUACGGGGUGCUGCAGUGAGGAAUAUUGGUCAAUGGCCGCAGGGCUGAACCAGCCAAGUCGCGUGAGGGAUGACGGUCCUAUGGAUUGUAAACCUCUUUUGUCAGGGAGCAAAGGGCGCCACGUGUGGCGCUUUGCGAGUACCUGAAGAAAAAGCAUCGGCUAACUCCGUGCCAGCAGCCGCGGUAAUACGGAGGAUGCGAGCGUUAUCCGGAUUUAUUGGGUUUAAAGGGUGUGCAGGCGGAAUGUCAAGUCAGCGGUAAAAUUUCGGGGCUCAACCCCGUCGUGCCGUUGAAACUGGCGUUCUUGAGUGAGCGAGAAGUAUGCGGAAUGCGUGGUGUAGCGGUGAAAUGCAUAGAUAUCACGCAGAACUCCGAUUGCGAAGGCAGCAUACCGGCGCUCAACUGACGCUCAUGCACGAAAGCGUGGGUAUCGAACAGGAUUAGAUACCCGAGUAGUC
This 459-nucleotide ribosomal RNA is filed under the name uncultured bacterium. Its description in RNAcentral is "partial 16S ribosomal RNA". It matches the Rfam family "Bacterial small subunit ribosomal RNA", at positions 338 to 795 of the family's 1533-position model. The record is from RNAcentral.